This is a long non-coding RNA of Mustela lutreola (European mink), 2749 nucleotides long. RefSeq lists it as uncharacterized. The record is from RefSeq and is a predicted model, not a curated record. NCBI's taxonomy places the organism in Eukaryota, Metazoa, Chordata, Mammalia, Carnivora, Mustelidae. The transcript has 3 exons.
GAGCUAAAUACGUCGUCCCCGGAGCACAGCGUCGCGGGAACCCCGAGGCCUUCCUGCAGCGCUCCAGGCUUGGGAGACCGGCCCGCCAGCUUCCCGCACGGGUUUGUCUGCUUUGCUCACUGGCAUACGGAGGAGGAAGCCACGUCUGGCCCAGGCCUGGCCCAUGGGAGGUGCUUGGUAAAUAUUUGCUAAGUGAAUGAAGGCACGCGGUGCACUUCUGUUUCCAGCCCAGCCGGGCCUCUGGAAACCCAGAAACACAGGCAGAUCUGCAGAGAAGGAAGCCCUCACUUUCUGGGUUUGCGGAGGGUUUGCUGGCUAAGCACCAUUUUUCCCUCCUCAAAUCUCUCCACACCUCCUGCACGCCUCCUGCCUGGAGGGUUUGCAAGCAGCUGAUCGGAAGACGGGCUGGCUUAGGGGAAGGGGGCUUUGGGGUAGGGCCGGAGCGCUGAGGCCCCAGGCUGUCCCUGCAGCUGGUGCUUCUGCAAACGCCUGGAAUCCUGGAGCCAUUCCCACCCGGUCGAGCCGGGCCAGCUGAGCGCUGACUCCCCUUUAAGCUGGGCACGGGGGGCCCUGCCUGCCCCAACCUUCUGUGUCCGUCCUCGUUCUGGAGCCCGGAGGCCAACCUCGUGGGCACGGCAGGGCUGAGAGGGCCCCCCCCAGCCCUCCCUGGGGAGAGGCCCCCCCUCACCGUCACACGACAGAUCACUCAGGCCACUCCGCGAGUCACAAGGCAGAUUUUCCAUUAGCGUCAAACGCCUGUGCAUCCUGACCAGCAGCUGAUGUGAGCGCAAGGGGAAAGCACUUUAGUGAAGCCUCCUCACCCUGUCGUGCCCUCACAACGGCUUCUGUUGUUGGUGGGACACCCUCAUGGUCCCCAGCGUGGUCACGGGAUCUGGCUGGGGUCCCAAGACCUGAGGCCAGCCAACGAGAGAGUGGCGCUCCCCCACCCACAGAAACCAACUCAGUGACAGCCAUGGGACCCAAGUCCACACAAUCCGAACCCUGCCUGGGAUUUUUCUAGAAUGACCCUGAUCCUCCAAGCUGGGAAUUCUGAGGACACCCUAGGCCUCGAGCUCCCAGGCCAUCUUUGCCUUGGGGCAAAGCCAACCUCAGUGAAAUCAAGUUUAGAGUCUGAAUUAAGAUGGUGCCCAGGGUUGUCUUGCCAGCGUCUAGAUGCAGCUGUGCCUGAAGGCAGCUGCCUCCUACACUUUCCAGUUACGUCAACCAGCAAACUCUUCUUUCCUGAAAUGAGCUUGGCUGGGGGUCCUGUCAGUUGCCACCGAAAGGAAUCCUCAGUACCACUGAGCGACGUUAAUUCUCCACGUAUUGAAACGGGGAUCUAUAGAUGGUCAUGGGGAGCAAACCAGUGAGAGGAUACUGGCUCUGAAAUGUGGGGGAGGGGAUCUCAGGUUUAGGCAGAUACAUGUGCAGACUUCCCCCCCCCCCCCCCGCAACCCUGCGUUGCCUCUGAAACUGCCCGUCUAGGCUGGUCCAACUGUUUCCUGAAGGAUUUUUGCAAGCCACUAGAAGGGACCCUAAUCACAGAACUAGGAUCUGGGAUUAAGAUCAGCAUAAAAUAUUUGCAAACCGUGAAUUCCUUCUCCCAAGAAUUCCCACAAACAGGGUGACAACCCUGGGCAUGUUGGUGAGCUCCUCCAGUGCGGGGGGCUGCUUAUCCUCUGGACGUGCACCGCACCUGUCUCCCUUCCCCUGACCACCCCCCUGCGGCCCAGGGUCUGAGAUGGAGCUAGCAUAGGAGGGCAGAUCGUCCCCGUGGGGGCAAAUUCCACAGGGGCCGCUCAGGGCCCUCCCGCCCAGGAGCUGGCGGGGGCCGGAGAUGUCCGCGCCCGGGGGAGCCCAGAACAGGACAGCCGUUUCUGGUGUUCUCCGACCCCCGCUGCAGCCCGCCUCCCCCGGGCCCUCCCAGAGCCGUAGCGCAGGAGGCAGCGUCGACAGACAGGAAAAGGGACCUUCUUCUCUCCAGCUCCUCCACUGACAGCGAUGACACGGGCCAGGCAGGCGACGGACACCGGCUUUGUCCGUCCUCGUUCUGUGGCUCUCCACGGACAGAUGGCCCGUGCAGCUGGGUGACCGUGACUGCCCUCGGCCUGGGGCUGGCUGACCAACGUGUCUGGGGCCGUGGCCGCGGAGGGCAGGUGCGUGAUGGAGCCCGGCUAGUGCCGGGUGGUGGUGACGGGGCCAGUCACUGGACGAGCCGAAGGCGGGGUGUCUGAGGCGGCCUCGGGGCAGACGCAAAGGGACGCACCGAUGGGGAGGACACGGGUGCCUUGGUGGAGAGCCGCGGGAGGUGGUGGAGACAAGGCGAAUCCAGCUUCAAACUGCUGGGUCUGGGGCGAUGGGGCGCCCCGAGAGCACGUCCCACCACACUGGUGGAGAGGGGCCUGAGCUCGGGACAGUCCGGGUGUGCAGGCUGCACCCCCCAGCCCCGUUCUCCGAGCUGCUUCUGCGGUGUUUAUGGAAACGUAGUUUUGCCCGGGAGAUGCCGUGUAAUUGAGAAUCUUUUAAUGUCUGUUUAUGGCCACUGUUCUCACUUGAGCAAUUACGAGCGCGGAGGGAGGUGAUUGUACCCAGGGUGGUCUCCGUGGGCGCAGGGCCCUGGGCGCCUGUUUCUGCCACUUAAUGGGGAGGAGUCCUCUGGGUCCCAAGCAGAAAGUGACCUCAGACAGGAGCCCAUCUCUGUCACGGGCCCAGGCUGCUGGCACUCAGGGCCCCGUUCCGGGGUGUAACC